AGAAACCAUGAGGGGGAAAAAAGGAAACUCAAGAGCUGAAAAAUACAAAAUUCAAUGUGAUCAAUUCACUGGACGGGCGUACAAGUAGAUCCCGAAGGGGGAAACCCCGGCAAACCUGAAGGCAGAGAAACAGCAACUGUCUAACACCGGGAGCUGCAUCAUGCAGAUGGCUGCUGUACUUCCAGGCAUAAUGUCAGUGUUCCAGGAAAGAAGCAAUGGCAAAGGGACAAAAGGGGACCUGCCAGUUGAGUUUGUCCCUUUUUACCCAAGAAAGCGAAAACUUUCCUGGAAGCCACAUCCAGCAAACUUCCCCUCAUAUCUCAUUGGGUCAGGUAGCCAACCUUAGGAGAAUGAGAGUACUAUGUGUGCUCUAGGCAAACUGCAAUUCACUCCUUAUGGCCAGAAGAAGGGAUCUUCUCUCUGUAAAGUCAAAGAACUUCUACUGGUAGUUGACCACAUCGAGGUUUUAUUAGCGGAGCAGAAGGGCCAUGCUGCAGGAAGAAUGUUAGGUUGGUGAUGGACAAUUUCUAUCAUUGAUUGCUUUUUGUGAUUUUGUUACACACCCCCCUCCAAGAGUUUAGCAAAUGUAUACAAUAAACGUGUACUUGCUGUAA
Long non-coding RNA from Camelus dromedarius (Arabian camel), 614 nucleotides. RefSeq lists it as uncharacterized. The transcript has 2 exons. The record is from RefSeq and is a predicted model, not a curated record. Lineage: Eukaryota; Metazoa; Chordata; Mammalia; Artiodactyla; Camelidae.